Molecule: long non-coding RNA, 2460 nt
Filed under: Homo sapiens (human)
Lineage: Eukaryota; Metazoa; Chordata; Mammalia; Primates; Hominidae
Description: non-protein coding lnc-RUNX3-1:2
Source: RNAcentral
CAGGUGAGAACAGUGAGGUUCUGAUAGCCCCGGACACUAGCACGCCCUUAGGUGGUGCCAGAGCUGGGAUCUGAAUCUGGCUCAUCCAUCCAACUCUAUGGCCUCAGCACCUUCACCCCCUUGGAAGGGACUUUAGGGAGACACGGGGAGUGGAGGGGUAUCCUGGGGACACGACGGGAUGUGGCUGCAGCAGACCUGCCGGUGAAUCCUUCUGACUCACCGUGUGACCGUAUGUGAGGCCUUCCCCGGUGAGCCUCAGUUCCUGGGCUGGACGCUGGGGAGAGCCGUCUCCACCCUGUCUGCCUCCCGAACAGCUUGCUCUGGAAACUCCCAUAGGAGGCAUUUGUGCGUAGGUGGCUGUGGGGUGAGAGGAGCAUUGCUGAUCAUUAUUUAAGCAAAGAUGACACUGGGCAGAAGGGGGCAGCGAGCCCAUUCCUGGGGAAACAGGAUGCAUCCCAGCCUGCGCUCUCCCCCCUCAGUCAGCUAAUCUCCCCAGGCCGACGCUGCUCCUCCUCCCGAUUCCAUCUGCCUCUUAAACGCGGGACUUCUCACUGAAACGUAUUCAAACCCGAACAUGCACUAAGGGAACUUCAGACAGGAGGAGAGGCAGCAGGUUGAGCUCUUGGGGUCCCUGGCGAGGCAGACGCUGCGGGUGGAGACAGUCCUUAGUUUGUCCUCGGUGCCACCACCCCUGUGGUACAAGAGACACUGAAGCAGCUGUAUGGGGUGGCAGCUCCAGGCUCGGCCAAGAGCAGGGCCCGAGGCAGGAGGUGAGGACUGGUGGUUCUCGUUCUGAAGUGGGCACCGAGAGCAGUUUUUCAAAACAACAGGAAAGAGAGAAGCGGAGGGCGGGCUGGGUUUGAAUCCUGCUUCCUCCACCAGCAAGCUGGGGGACCUUGGGCAGGUCUCUCCACCUCUCUGGCUCUCCCCCAGAGACUAUCAGACUGCUUAGGCGCGUGGUGCCGUCCUCAGAGCCCACCCCUGGAGGGAUCAUGCCUAAAGCUCUCAGCAUGUGCGCCCCAGGUGGUAGGUCCUCAGCUGAUGAUCCCUUGGCUUGGCCUGGGUGUUCUGGUCCUGGGUGGGUUGCACAGCUCUGCAGGCCCCAUUCUCCACCCCCGGAGAGGGGCUGAUCUGGCUGAGUGGCGGCAUCUUAGUGUCUCUGUGCUAGCCCUCGAAAGGGAAGUGCCCCACCCCCACACCCACCCCCAGCCCACGGCAGAUAUCGCUCCAGCAGCUUCCCUGGGCUCACACCAGGAUCUGCUGAUGAAAGGCCAGAAUUUGAACUCCAAGGCCAGUGUCCACCUCGAAUCUGCUACCUGCCCGGUCCAAGCUGGCAGUGCGACUCCUGGAGGCUAAAUCUUGGGGUUAAUCCCUGUAUUAGUUUUUUCCUCCUCUGAAAAGUGAGGAGGGCCACCCUGUCCUGUAGGUUGUUGGGAGGAUCUGGUGGUUUGAGGUGUGCUGUCAUCGAAAUCAUAACGUUCAGAGGCAGGGUCUGCAUCCAGUGCUCAUCGUGGUGACAUAACCUCAGCCCUGCACACAGGUUAGGGAAAUGAAUUUCAUCACCAUUCACAGGAGACACCUUCUUAAUUGACCCCCGGGUAUCUCCCAGGAUUCACCUGUACUUCUCGUAUAAAAUACCAAUGGAUGCCCUCAGCUGGCAGGCCCUUCUCUGGAAUGCCACAUCUCCUCCCACCAGCCACUGAACCGUCAGCUUACCAGACGUGAGUUGGAAUGUGUCCCAACCAGUUGGUGCCAGCUGGGUUUGCAUGGCUAUAGAACGUCAUUGGAGAUUAUGCCAGUCCUGGGCCAGUUUGCCCACAGAUCAGCUCUGCUCAUUCCCCUGUUUGGCUCUGUCACACAAGGGUUUGAUGGCACGGGCUGCAUUCCCCGAGCUCCUUGGCCAGCUGGUCCCCGCUACAUUCAACCAAUGGGAGGCACCAAGAGAAGAUGAAAAACAAAAGCAAGGGAGAAGCCAGGGUGUUUCUCCCCUCUAUUCUUUGUCUCAGGUGAUGUCUCCAUGUGGCUAAGUCUCCUCUGUGACUCUAGCAAAUGCCGGACUGGCCCACUAAGUUCCUGCUUCUGCUGGGGGCCCUGGUAACCCCACCUCUCUCCGUGUCCCUCUUACCCAAAGGGUGUCAGUGGCUGAACUGAUGCUCACACUGGGACUCCUCACUGUCUCUGUUUGGCUCCUCAGGUUGUCCCUCACCUGUGUUGCUAACACUCCCUGAAUUAACUUCCAGGACUCAAUAUGGCUCCUGUUUUCCUGGUUGGACUCCGACUGAUGAUAAUGCCAUGAGGUCAAUCGUGUGAUGCCGAACAGGAGCCUCUGCUUCUAUGAAAAUUGGGAAGAUUCAAUGAAGGCAAAUUGCUAAAAAAUAAAUUGAAUUUGGUAUGGGUGGGACAUUGUAAAGGAUGGAAAGAAAUAGUAAAAUCUAGAUGAUGCCAAAAAAAAAAAAAAAA